AUUGAACGCUGGCGGCAUGCCUUACACAUGCAAGUCGAACGGCAGCACGGGAGCAAUCCUGGUGGCGAGUGGCGAACGGGUGAGUAAUAUAUCGGAACGUGCCCAGUCGUGGGGGAUAACGUAGCGAAAGCUACGCUAAUACCGCAUACGAUCUAUGGAUGAAAGCGGGGGAUCGCAAGACCUCGCGCGAUUGGAGCGGCCGAUAUCAGAUUAGGUAGUUGGUGAGGUAAAGGCUCACCAAGCCGACGAUCUGUAGCUGGUCUGAGAGGACGACCAGCCACACUGGGACUGAGACACGGCCCAGACUCCUACGGGAGGCAGCAGUGGGGAAUAUUGGACAAUGGGCGAAAGACCUGAUCCAGCAAUGCCGCGUGAGUGA
RNAcentral lists this ribosomal RNA (379 nucleotides) under uncultured bacterium. RNAcentral describes it as "bacterial SSU rRNA". It matches the Rfam family "Bacterial small subunit ribosomal RNA", at positions 30 to 408 of the family's 1533-position model. The record is from RNAcentral.